Molecule: long non-coding RNA, 850 nt
Organism: Anopheles coustani
Lineage: Eukaryota; Metazoa; Arthropoda; Insecta; Diptera; Culicidae
Exons: 2
Source: RefSeq, a predicted model, not a curated record
UACGUAAGUACAGAGGCGGCGGAAUUCCUGAUGCAAGUAAUCUGCACAAAAUGUUUCUAUAUCUAGAAGAAUACAGCAUUCACACCCCAGUUCGUUUGUGUAACGGUGAACGGUAUCAGAAACAUACCGGAAUUGCUAGUGGAAGCUAUUUCACCGAACUAGUUGAAAGCAUAUGUAAUCACAUUCUAGUUUAUUAUGCCGAAUUCAAGGAAAAAGUUGCAAUUAAUAAGAUUUUCGUGCUGGGUGACAAUGCCAUCGUGGCGUACAAUAGACCAAUAACACCAUUGGCUGUGGCAGAUCACCUUGCUCCUCUUGGGGUGGAAGUCAACAUACCACAUUCUCGCUAUUCUAGGAAUCUACAUAAUGUACCAUUCCUUGGCUAUCAGAUCCAUAAGAAACGGUGAGAACUGGAAUACUACAGCCUCACGUUGGAUCACGAAUGGAAACACCAUUUGAACACCCUAAACGUACAAAUGUUGUGCGAAUCGAGUAACAGUACAAAGUGCACGAGCAAAAAUGAGCUUUUCUGGGAAAAGGAAAAGACCCCGAAUAAUGUGGCUGAGAGUUAGUGUCGACGAUGCGACUGAAAGUGCUUUCAUAUUACGAUAUCAACAAUAAUUUAUUUUUCGUGUUUCUAAGCGCUUUAAGUCCGCGUUUCGUUGAAAUCCCUGUAUUGUUCGCUGGUAAGACCGAUUCUCGAGUUUGCGUGUACUGUCUGGUCACCAGUCCAAACCACCUGGAUUAAUAGAUUGGAAAAUGUUCAGAACAGGGCCACACGUUUCUUGUUUUAUCGUUUGCCAUGGGCUAAUCGCAUGUCCCGUCCUCCUUAUAGGACUCGCUGUUUAUUGUU